This 356-nucleotide small RNA is filed under the name Histoplasma ohiense. RNAcentral's name for it is "hypothetical lncRNA". The record is from RNAcentral. Lineage: Eukaryota; Fungi; Ascomycota; Eurotiomycetes; Onygenales; Ajellomycetaceae.
UGCUCCAACUCCCUAGUGCGGGCAUACCAAACCUCAUCAGGGGGUUCAUAACCACUAAGCCCGAAACUCCCCUCAAUCUUCUUCCGCUUCCUUGCCUCAGGAUCUCUCCCUUCCAGCUCCGCCACAAACUCUGCUGGUAAUGCCUUCCUCACUGCCUCUGCCGCCUGCUCCUCAAUUCGUUGUGCAUCCCUCUUCUGAGCCAACGGGUUCGGAUCAACCGUCGCCCACCGCACGUUGAGUACCUCAUUAUGAUCUAGGCUCUGAUGAGACAUUGCCUCCUUGGCGAACUGUGAAUUUGCCUCAUUGGUAUACGUCACAAACGCCACGCCUCGAGAAUUCAACACACGGAUGCGUUC